UACGUAGGUGGCAAGCGUUGUCCGGAUUUAUUGGGUUUAAAGGGUGCGUAGGCGGCCCUGUAAGUCAGUGCUGAAAUAUCCCGGCUUAACCGGGAGGGUGGCAUUGAUACUGCGGGGCUUGAGUAAAGUUGAGGUUGGCGGAAUUGACGGUGUAGCGGUGAAAUGCUUAGAUAUCGUCAAGAACACCUAUUGCGAAGGCAGCUAACUAAGCUUUAACUGACGCUGAGGCACGAAAGUGUGGGGAUCAAACAGGAUUAGAAACCCGGGUAGUCC
Molecule: ribosomal RNA, 273 nt
Filed under: uncultured bacterium
Lineage: Bacteria
Description: partial 16S ribosomal RNA
Rfam family: Bacterial small subunit ribosomal RNA
Source: RNAcentral